GGCGUGGUUAAGACAUGCAAGUCGAACGAUGAAGCCCAGCUUGCUGGGCGGAUUAGUGGCAUACGGGUGCGUAACACGUGAGCAACCUGCCUUGAAGUGGGGAAUANGCCCGGGUGAAACCCGUGAUUAAUACCGCAUGUGGUCUCUUUUCGCAUGAAAAGACGACUAAAGUUUGUAAUGACUCUUCAAGAGGGGCUCGCGGCCUAUCAGCUUGUUGGUGAGGUAAAGGCUCACCAAGGCAAAGACGGGUAGCUGGUCUGAGAGGAUGAUCAGCCACACUGGAACUGAGAUACGGUCCAGACACCUACGGGUGGCAGCAGCUUCGAAUCAUUCACAAUGGGGGAAACCCUGAUGGUGCAACGCCGCGUGGAGGAUGACGGCCUUCGGGUUGUAAACUCCUGUCACCAAGGAACAAACGGCAGGUUCAUAGCCUGUCCUGAGUUAACUUGGAGAGGAAGAGGUGGCUAACUCCGUGCCAGCAGCCGCGGUAAUACGGAGACCUCGAGCGUUACUCGGAUUCACUGGGCGUAAAGAGUAUGUAGGCUGUUUGGUAUGUCAGGUGUGAAAGCCCGAAGCUCAACUUCGGAAUUGCGCCUGAAACUACCGGACUUGAGGCCUGGAGAGGGGAGUGGAAUUCCUGGUGUAGCGGUGAAAUGCGUAGAUAUCAGGAGGAACACCAAUGGCGAAGGCAGCUCCCUGGACAGGUUCUGACGCUGAGAUACGAAAGCGUGGGUAGCGAAAGGGAUUAGAUACCCCUGUAGUCCACGCCGUAAACGUUGAAUGCUAGGUGUGGGAUCGAAUGGUUCCGUGCCGGAGCGAACGCGAUAAGCAUUCCGCCUGGGGAGUACGGCCGCAAGGUUAAAACUCAAACGAAUUGACGGGGCCCCGCACAAGCAGCGGAGCGUGUGGUUUAAUUCGAUGCUACACGAAGAACCUUACCUGGGUUUGACAUGUAGGUGGUAGUGAAUCGAAAGGUGAACGACCCUUCGGGGAGCCUACACAGGUGCUGCAUGGCUGUCGUCAGCUCGUGCCGUGAGGUGUCGGGUUAAGUCCCGUAACGAGCGCAACCCUUGCUCCUAGUUACAAG
This 1087-nucleotide ribosomal RNA is filed under the name uncultured organism. RNAcentral describes it as "bacterial SSU rRNA". It matches the Rfam family "Bacterial small subunit ribosomal RNA", at positions 41 to 1121 of the family's 1533-position model. The record is from RNAcentral.